Long non-coding RNA from Ictidomys tridecemlineatus (thirteen-lined ground squirrel), 1714 nucleotides. Lineage: Eukaryota; Metazoa; Chordata; Mammalia; Rodentia; Sciuridae. The record is from Ensembl.
UUUUUGCAGGUUUCAUUUUCUUGAUACUUCCGAAUAAGACCCUUACUUCACUAGUUACAAGAAGGCUCCAUUAUGUGGUCCUCAGACCACUGGGACAUGCUGAGCUAUAGUCAAACUUUCCUUAAUGAAUGUUUCUCCUCGUAAAUUUCCUUGGAUGAAAUUUUUAACCAGUAUGGAUUCUGUGAUGAAUUUUAAGGUACACAUAACUGAGUGCUUAUCACACAUACCCCCACCUUUUUUUGAAGUUUUCUUUUUAGUUGUAGAUGAACUUAAUUUUUUUACUUUUAUUUAUUUUUAUGUGGUGAUGAGGAUAGAACUUGGUGCCACACAAAUACUAGGUGAUCACUGAACUCACUGAACUACAAAUCCAGCCCAGACAUCCCCCAUCUCUACGGUUUCUAAUAGGACUAGUUGUGAAGACCAACUAAAGCCAUGCAUCACAUGUCCAAGGUAAUUUGGCAGGGAGGGGGUGCUCUGAUGCAGUUGAAAACUGAGACUGUGAGACUGACUGAAAGAAUUACAGCAUUCUCCACAUCUGCAUGGGUUAUCUCCUGUGUGGACCUUCAAACACAGGUCAAGAUUUGAGCUCCAAUGUAAUCCUACCCAAAGUCCUUGAUUUGUAAGCCAUUUCUCCAUUGUGCAUUUUCACAUAUGAACUGUGUCCAAAGCUCUUCCAAAACUCUUUGCAAAUGAAGGGUUCUACUCCACCGUGGUGUCUCUGAUGGCUCAAGUGACUUGAUGCUCAGCUGAAGCUAUCCCCACUCCUCACACUUUCGUGGCUUUCCCCCAGUGUGGACUCUCCCAUGGGUAUAAAGUUGUGAAUUCUGAGUAAAGCUCUUCCCACACUUUUCACACUUGAAUGGUUUUUCUCAGCUGUGGAGUCUCUGAUGUUUCAAAAGAUCGGAGGCCCAGCCAAAGCUCUUCCCACAUUCCUUACAAGUAUAUGAUCUUUCUCCCGUGUGGACCCUCCUAUGGGAAUAAAGUUGUGAAUUCUGAUAAAAUUCUUCCCACACUCCUCAAUCUGUAUGGCUUUUCUCCACUGUGCACCCUCUGAUGGGAAUGAAGUUCAAUCAUGGCCUCCCUCUGCUCAAAUAGGCACCAGAAUGAACGGGUCUGCAAGGACCCCAAACAAGAGCCAGAACACCGGCAGCUGGAACUCUCUAGCCUCAACCCAGGGCCUCCCGCCAUUCAGCGGGAACUAAAUGGUAACAAGAAAAGCCACGAUUCACUAGAUGCUCGUAACUGUUUUAAGUCUUUGCUCUGAAGGCCCUCUUGCAAUUCCAAACCAUGCGAUUAGGAUGGUACAUUUAAAAUAACGACAAUGACCCUCCCUCCCCCCUCAAUCGAGUAAGUCCCCAAAGUGGACCACCCGAGGAAGUGGCCGCACGGGAGCGGUGGAGAGGGGCUGAUUAGGCGAGCCGAGAGCCCCGGAAACCCUCAAACCAGGUGGCAAACGCCCUGACCAGGUCACGAACCCGGGGACUCCACUACAGAGUCUCCAACGCGAGCAGGUUCCGCGGGGAAAACCGAAACUUCGUUCGUCACCGCUCCAAACCCCUGCUCUCCGCGGAGGCUUCCUUUCCCCUAAGCUGAAGGCAGGUCAUUGAGGGUGCCGGUGGGGUGGGGGCCAGGAAAUUCGGAAGAGCGCUCAAGACCCAAGAAACUGAUUUCAAUCACCAUGAGAAACAAACAAACUACAACAGCAACUUCCGGC